GAGCUUUAACUAACCAACCCAAAGAGAAUAGAUUUAACCAUUAAGGAAUAACAACAAUCUCCAUGAGUUGGUAGUUUCGGUUGGGGUGACCUCGGAGAAUAAAAAAUCCUCCGAGCGAUUUUAAAGACUAGACCCACAAGUCAAAUCACUCUAUCGCUCA
Molecule: ribosomal RNA, 160 nt
Filed under: Bos taurus (domestic cattle)
Lineage: Eukaryota; Metazoa; Chordata; Mammalia; Artiodactyla; Bovidae
Description: partial large subunit ribosomal RNA
Source: RNAcentral